RNAcentral lists this ribosomal RNA (808 nucleotides) under Fusarium incarnatum. RNAcentral's name for it is "eukaryotic LSU rRNA". It matches the Rfam family "Eukaryotic large subunit ribosomal RNA", at positions 82 to 919 of the family's 3401-position model. The record is from RNAcentral. Lineage: Eukaryota; Fungi; Ascomycota; Sordariomycetes; Hypocreales; Nectriaceae.
AGUAACGGCGAGUGAAGCGGCAACAGCUCAAAUUUGAAAUCUCGGCUCUCGGGCCCGAGUUGUAAUUUGUAGAGGAUGCUUUUGAUGCGGUGCCUUCCGAGUUCCCUGGAACGGGACGCCAUAGAGGGUGAGAGCCCCGUCUGGUUGGAUGCCAAAUCUCUGUAAAGCUCCUUCGACGAGUCGAGUAGUUUGGGAAUGCUGCUCUAAAUGGGAGGUAUAUGUCUUCUAAAGCUAAAUACCGGCCAGAGACCGAUAGCGCACAAGUAGAGUGAUCGAAAGAUGAAAAGCACUUUGAAAAGAGAGUUAAAAAGUACGUGAAAUUGUUGAAAGGGAAGCGUUUAUGACCAGACUUGGGCUUGGUUAAUCAUCUGGGGUUCUCCCCAGUGCACUUUUCCAGUCCAGGCCAGCAUCAGUUUUCGCCGGGGGAUAAAGGCUUCGGGAAUGUGGCUCUCUCCGGGGAGUGUUAUAGCCCGUUGCGUAAUACCCUGGCGGGGACUGAGGUUCGCGCAUCUGCAAGGAUGCUGGCGUAAUGGUCAUCAACGACCCGUCUUGAAACACGGACCAAGGAGUCGUCUUCGUAUGCGAGUGUUCGGGUGUCAAACCCCUACGCGUAAUGAAAGUGAACGCAGGUGAGAGCUUCGGCGCAUCAUCGACCGAUCCUGAUGUUCUCGGAUGGAUUUGAGUAAGAGCAUACGGGGCCGGACCCGAAAGAAGGUGAACUAUGCCUGUGUAGGGUGAAGCCAGAGGAAACUCUGGUGGAGGCUCGCAGCGGUUCUGACGUGCAAAUCGAUCGUCAAACAUGGGCAUG